Long non-coding RNA from Chionomys nivalis (European snow vole), 478 nucleotides. RefSeq lists it as uncharacterized. Lineage: Eukaryota; Metazoa; Chordata; Mammalia; Rodentia; Cricetidae. The transcript has 3 exons. The record is from RefSeq and is a predicted model, not a curated record.
UUUUAUUUGUAGUGUGGUGUGUAGGUGUCAACUAACAGUAAUUUCCUGGUGCCUACUUCGGGUUCCCAGCUAUAUCUAAUAAUUAAAAGUAUAAUUUUGGAGGGUCCUGUGGAUGGUUCAGCGGAUAAAGAAUGGUAUUUGCCACCAAGCCGCCGACCUGAGUCCCAUCUUCAGAAGCCACAAGAGCAAGGGAAUGAGACACCAAUAAAAAUGAGUGGUCCAAGUAAUUCAGCAUCUCAGAAUGCCUCUGUUGUAGUUUCCUAAGAGUUCUGCAUCUAGAACAGCUUCAAGGGUGCUGGCUGAGAUGGUCCAGCCUCACAGGCUAUUCUAGCCAGGACUGCAGCAUGCAUGGAGAAGUCGGAAGAUAACGUGGUGGAGUUAUUUUCUCCCCUUCUACCUUCAUGUGAGUUCUGGGGGUUGAACUCUGGUCACCGAUCCUGCUGGCAAGUGCCUUUAGCAGCUGAGCCAUCUCAUCAAC